AACUAUGAGGGCAAAGUGGCUGCGACAUCUGUCACUCCACUAACCACCAGGGUUCAUUCAACUGGGUAACUGAGCCAGAGUGAAUUGGCUGGCCAGGCAGUCAUUCCAGUCUUCCCUCCCUGCUCCAGGUGCUAUCCUUCCCAACAUUCCCUGAUAGAGGAGAACUUUUUUUGGUCAAGAGUAUAGGGGCAGCUGUAGUCCCCAGUUAGAGCACCCUCUAAACAAGCUCUUAAGGUCCAUUUGUAGGAGAACAUAGGGUAUUCAAACCCAUGACUCCAGACACAUCCAAGCAAAACACUGCAUGUGGACAGUCUGCCCU
Molecule: small nuclear RNA, 319 nt
Filed under: Saimiri boliviensis boliviensis (Bolivian squirrel monkey)
Lineage: Eukaryota; Metazoa; Chordata; Mammalia; Primates; Cebidae
Description: 7SK RNA (ENSSBOG00000002830.1)
Rfam family: 7SK RNA
About the family: 7SK was discovered as an abundant small nuclear RNA in the mid-70s but a possible function has only recently been suggested. Two independent studies have found that 7SK RNA binds the CDK9/cyclin T complex (known as elongation factor P-TEFb).
Source: RNAcentral